GUAAGGCUCCCAGUAGACGACUGGGUUGAUAGGCCGGAUCUGGAAGCACCGUGAGGUGUGGAGGUGACCGGUACUAAUAGGCCGAGGGCUUGUCCUC
Molecule: ribosomal RNA, 97 nt
Filed under: Streptomyces sp. tea 10
Lineage: Bacteria; Bacillati; Actinomycetota; Actinomycetes; Kitasatosporales; Streptomycetaceae
Also listed under: 4 other names
Description: partial 23S ribosomal RNA
Rfam family: Bacterial large subunit ribosomal RNA
Source: RNAcentral